This 674-nucleotide long non-coding RNA is filed under the name Rattus norvegicus (Norway rat). Its description in RNAcentral is "long non-coding RNA NONRATT012130". The record is from RNAcentral. Lineage: Eukaryota; Metazoa; Chordata; Mammalia; Rodentia; Muridae.
GGCAGAGAUGCCCUUGGUCUGAGGCUGUGCUGGUGACUCCCUCCUCCCCUCUGGGUCAGGAUGGAGAAGGAUCCCGUCACUCACAGGAAGCACCGGCCUGGGCCUGGAGCCCUGCCCUCAGGAAUAACCCCUGUAUACCUCAAGGUGGCCAGUGAAGGGGCAGAACUCCAGAGGAGCAGGAGUGUGGGUGGCUUGCACCAGAAGGGGGACCCACCGAUCUGCAUCAGGAAACUACUACGCAAGGAGCUAGGUAGGGGGUGGCUCCCUCCCAGAGGGCUGGGAGGGCAGGCAGAGCCGGCCCAGCCUCAAGAAAAUAGGGUGUGCAAGACACAUUCCUGCUAGGAGAAGGUAGCUGGUUUCUAACUUCAGAACUGCACCAGGCCGUGGAAACCCUGCCUUUCUCUCGGCUGCUCUUUGCUUAGUACAUUAAGUAAGAAAGAUGAGGGUUGGAAGAGUCUCCUACUAGUUAGCAUCUUCUGAAACACAGGCACAUAUUACAUGUGCAUGCGUACUUAGGGAGCGCUGGGGAGUUUCCGGUCCUUUUACCUUCUGUAUAUGGGUAUUUUGCCUGCACACAUGUAUGUGCCCCAUGUAUGUGCAGUGCUAUGGAGACCAGGAGAGGGCAUUGGAUCCCCUGGGAUUGGAAUUAGACUUGAGUCCUGUGUGAGUUUUGG